Molecule: ribosomal RNA, 443 nt
Filed under: uncultured bacterium
Lineage: Bacteria
Description: partial 16S ribosomal RNA
Rfam family: Bacterial small subunit ribosomal RNA
Source: RNAcentral
CCUACGGGUGGCAGCAGUGGGGAAUAUUGGGCAAUGGGCGCAAGCCUGACCCAGCAACGCCGCGUGAAGGAAGAAGGCCCUCGGGUUGUAAACUUCUUUUAUCAGGGACGAAGCAAGUGACGGUACCUGAUGAAUAAGCCACGGCUAACUACGUGCCAGCAGCCGCGGUAAUACGUAGGGGGCAAGCGUUAGCCGGAUUUACUGGGUGUAAAGGGUGUGUAGGCGGGAAAGCAAGUCAGAUGUGAAAACCAUGGGCUCAAACUGUGGCCUGCAGUUGAAACUGUUUGUCUUGAGUACUGGAGAGGCAGACGGAAUUCGUGGUGUAGCGGUGAAAUGCGUAGAUAUUAGGAAGAACACCGAUGGCGAAGGCAGUCUGCUGGACAGCAACUGACGCUGAGGCGCGAAAGCGUGGGGAGCAAACAGGAUUAGAUACCCUAGUAGUC